UUAAAUGAAUAGCAGCAGCCUUUUUACAAUAUGGCCAAUUUUGCAACUGUGAUAAUUAGUGGUAAUCAUGGUGCGUAAUUUCAAGUAGUUUGCUAGCGUUGUUAUUUACAAUUAUUCGAACCCAGUGCCAUAUAGCAUAUUACUAUACAAAAAAAGUUACAUAUUUACCCCAUUUUGAGAGGUCAACGACAAUUGUUGCAGUUAGCUAUCUAGAAUUGUCGUGAACUAUAUGCACAACUAAAGGACAUUGUUCCAGUCACAGGUCUAUGUCCCCAAGCGGGACCUUAUGGUGUCCAGGACACGCUCCGAAGCAGGUUUUCCAGCGUGAGGAAUGAGCAGCUCCCCAGUUAUCCACUGGAGCUCUUAGAGAAAAAUUAGACUUGCUGGUUUAAAAUGGGCCGGUGCCCUACCCACACUGGCCCUACCUACUCACAAACACACAUACAGUGCCUUCAGAAAGUAUUCACACCCCUUGCAUUUUUUCACAUUUAGUUGUUACAAAGUGGGAUUAAAAUUGAUUUAAUUGUCAUUUUUUGUCAAGGACCCACACAACAUACUCUGUAAUGUAAAAGUGGAAGAAACUAAAAAUAUAUAUUUUUAAAUGCUUAUAUAUCUAGAUUAGAUGUGGAUCAUUGGCAUGGGUCCCCAGAUUCUCAAAAGAUUAUACAGCUGCACCAUUGAGAGCUGCUUGGCG
This is a long non-coding RNA of Oncorhynchus mykiss (rainbow trout), 694 nucleotides long. RefSeq lists it as uncharacterized. Lineage: Eukaryota; Metazoa; Chordata; Actinopteri; Salmoniformes; Salmonidae. The record is from RefSeq and is a predicted model, not a curated record.